This is an RNA transcript of Gorilla gorilla gorilla (western lowland gorilla), 1961 nucleotides long. It is a transcript of the gene named cytochrome P450 2F2-like, with no coding region annotated. The transcript has 4 exons. NCBI's taxonomy places the organism in Eukaryota, Metazoa, Chordata, Mammalia, Primates, Hominidae. The record is from RefSeq and is a predicted model, not a curated record.
GUCUGAGACGAGGACUCCCGGGUCUGAAGGAAGAGGGAGCUGGGGGCAAUGGCUCCGAUGAGGAACCCUAUGGGCACCCGCUGAGCACCGGCUACCCGUAGCUCUCCGGCCGCUGGGGCCGGGUGUUCACAGUGCGGCUGGGCCCGCGCCCUGCGGUGGUGCUGUGCGGCUACGCAGCGCUGCGGGACGCGUUAGUGCUGCAGGCGGAUGCGGUCUCCGGCCGCGGGUCCAUGGCAGUCUUCGAACGCUUCACACGCGGAAACAGUGAGGCCCCGGCGCUGGACUUGCCGGCCCGGACGCUCCAGGCUGGGCGGGUAAAUAAAUGGUAGAGGUGGGCAAAUGGGGGCGGGGCCUAAUAGAGACUCCAGCUAAUGAGGUGCAAACGGCCGAGAGAGGGCGGGGCGGCGCUAAAGCGUAAGGUUAGAAUGGAGGUUCAUCCUGCAGCCAACAGGAGAGAAGAGCCUAAAAGUCAAAGCCCGAGAGCCAGCCUAGGUCAGGGAUCGAGCCCAGCAAAGGCGGGGCCAAUGUGUGGAUAGGGCACUUGGAGGUCUGGUAAAGAAGCAAAGCGAACAAAGCCGGCCGCAGGAGUCGGAGGCCCCUAAAAGGAUGUAGCCAGUGACCCGGCGCUUCCUGGAUAGGGCGUGGCCGGCUCCCGGGCCCGCCUCCUUUCCCGUCCCCACCACAGGAAUCUUGUUUUCUAACCGGCCGUGCUGGGUGGACACUGCGCAAUUUUGCACUUGGAGCGCUUAAGAAGUUCGGGUUGGGUACGCGGACCGUCGAGGCGCGCGUCCUGGAGGAGGCGGCUUGUCUGCUAGACGAAUUUCAAGCCACCAUUGCUUCGGCCUGGCCGGGAGAGCGGAAGGGCCUGGUGUGGGAGAGUCCCUUGCACUGCCAAGACGGGGCCACGGGAAGGUAUUUAGGUGGAAGAAAGCCAGUAAGCCCAUGGGGCUGGCUGGGGGCAGGACCACGCGUUAUGACCACCGUCCUGUUCCUACCCCCAGGAGCCCCGUUUGACCCCGUGCGGCUACUGGAUAAUGCUGUAUCCAAUGUUAUCUGUUCUUGUCUUCGGGAACCGCUAUCGCUACGGGGACCCGGAGUUCCUGAGGCUCCUGAACCUCUUCAGUGACAACUUCUGCAUCAUUAGUUCCAGAUGGGGCGAGAUGUACAUUUGCCCGUCUCUCACGGACUGGCUCCCGGGCCCGCACCACCGAAUCUUCCGAAACUUUUCGGAGCUGCGGGUCAUCUCUGAGCAAAUCCAACGACACUGGCAGAUGCGGCAGCCAGCGGAGCCCCGCGAUUUCAUUGAUUGCUUGACCAGAUGGGGCACUUUUGUGAUUCCCCUGCUUGUGACUGCGCACCGGGACCCCACUCAAUUCAAGGACCCAGACUGCUUCAACCCUACCAACUUCCUGGACAAGGGCAAGUUCCAGGGCAAUGAUGUUUUCAUGCCCUUUGCCUCAGGCGCAGGCAGAGGAGGAAGGGGACCAGCCUGGACUGGCUCUGGGGUGCCUGGUGCUCACUAUGCACCUGUGUACCCGGCAAAGCGGAUGUGCCUGGGCAUAGGCCUGGCCCACUCGGGUAUCUUCCUAUUCCUUACGGCCACUUUACAGAGGUUCUGCCUGCUCCGUGUGGUACACCCUGGCACCAUCAACCUCACCUGCAGUGCACUGUCCUGGGCAGUGUCCCCCCAGACUUCCAGCUCCAGCCAGUGGCCUGCUGAGGUCAGGCUCCACUAUGGUGGGCUCACUGGCCCUCAAACCUCCAUACCCUCCUCGGUCAAUAAAGGCCCUAAAUUGCAGAUGGAGUCAGAUGUGUGCAGCUCUGAGCAAGAGGCCAUGACUCACCUCAACCCCAAGUCCUGCAUCCUGGUGGGAAGUGACAAUGCCUCCUCCCAGCUCUCCACACCUAAUGGGGUCAUGACCAGACAGGGUAGGACCCAGGCCCCCAGCUUCAGUUGGUAA